UAUCUACAUUCAUUAGCGGAGGAAAGAAACUAACAAGGAUUCCCCUAGUAACUGCGAGUGAAGCGGGAAAAGCUCAAAUUUAAAAUCUGAUGGUCUUUGGCCAUCCGAGUUGUAAUUUAGAGAAGCGACUUCCGCGCUGGACCGUGCACAAGUCUCCUGGAAUGGAGCGUCAUAGAGGGUGAGAAUCCCGUCUUUGGCACGGAUGCACCAGGGCUUUUGUGAUGCGCUCUCGAAGAGUCGAGUUGUUUGGGAAUGCAGCUCAAAAUGGGUGGUGAACUCCAUCUAAAGCUAAAUAUUGGCGAGAGACCGAUAGCGAACAAGUACCGUGAGGGAAAGAUGAAAAGCACUUUGGAAAGAGAGUGAAACAGUACGUGAAAUUGUUGAAAGGGAAACGCUUGAAGUCAGUCGCGUCGGUCGAGACUCAGCCUUGCCUCGGCUUGGCGUACUUCUUGGCUGACGGGUCAGCAUCAAUUUUGCCCCUCGAAUAAUGGCAAGGGAAAUGUGACACCUUUUAUAGGUGUGUUAUAGUCUCUUGUCGCAUGCGAGGGUCAGGAUUGAGGAACUCAGCACGCGCCUUUCGGUGUCGGGGCCUUGGCCCACGAAACGUGCUUAGGAUGUUGGCGUAAUGGCUUUAAGCGACCCGUCUUGAAACACGGACCAAGGAGUCUAACAUGCCCGCGAGUGUUUGGGUGGAAAACCCAUGCGCGCAAUGAAAGUGAAAGUUGGGACCUCUGUCGUGGAGGGCACCGACGCCCGGACCAGACCUUCUGUGACGGAUCUGCGGUAGAGCGUGUAUGUUAGGACCCGAAAGAUGGUGAACUAUGCCUGAAUAGGGUGAAGCCAGAGGAAACUCUGGUGGAGGCUCGUAGCGAUUCUGACGUGCAAAUCGAUCGUCAAAUUUGGGUAUAGGGGCGAAAGACUAAUCGAACCAUCUAGUAGCUGGUUCUGGCGAUUU
RNAcentral lists this ribosomal RNA (955 nucleotides) under Russula sp. HMAS 276801. RNAcentral's name for it is "eukaryotic LSU rRNA". It matches the Rfam family "Eukaryotic large subunit ribosomal RNA", at positions 35 to 969 of the family's 3401-position model. The record is from RNAcentral. Lineage: Eukaryota; Fungi; Basidiomycota; Agaricomycetes; Russulales; Russulaceae.